GGGGCCGGGCUGAACCAUGGCGGGCGGCGGCAUGGGGGCGGUGGGGCUCCGCGGGCAGCCUGGUUGCGCUGCACCCGGACGGGGCCGAGGGGACCUGAAAGCUGCGGCAGAGCCUGACCGCGCCGUUCUCCAGAAGAGCCCCGGCCGCGGCUGAGUCGCGCUCCGGGUGUGGACGGAGCCGGAGCCUCCCCGGGGCUCGGUGAGGACACAGGGCCCAAGCCCCGGACCUUCAAGUCUUGACCGAGCGCAUCCCCGGCCCUUCUGCGCCCACACCUGAGUUUUUGUCUGUAGGAGUUUCCGCAGUUUGCUAAGAAUCGACAUCUAGAGGAGUACUCACCACUUAAUUGAUGAUCAAUACACGUUCCUUGAAAGAACCGAUAGCAUGCGAUCGAUACAGAGCAUCUGCACUGGGAUUGUCCGCCCCGCCUGUCAGGGAGGCCUCGGGGGCUAAUGGAGCUGAGGACCUUGCACUUGCUGAAUUAGCUGGGACCAUCCAGAUGGAUAAACUGGCUCAUCUGAUCUUGUGGCCCGCACUCAGCAACCGGCUCAGGCCAAGAGGACAGCUUUGAUCCAUACGAUUUCAUCUCUGAUCUGACCCCUCAGUGCUCCCAGCUUACUGGCCCCCUACCUACCAAAUUAUCCUUAAAAACUCUGAACUCCAGGGCUGGGCACGGUGGCUCACACCUGUAAUCCCAGGACUCUGGGAG
RNAcentral lists this long non-coding RNA (707 nucleotides) under Homo sapiens (human). RNAcentral's name for it is "HSALNT0344624". The record is from RNAcentral. Lineage: Eukaryota; Metazoa; Chordata; Mammalia; Primates; Hominidae.